GCUUGUCUCAAAGAUUAAGCCAUGCAUGUCUAAGUAUAAAUUAGUUUAUAUUUGAAACUGCGAAUGGCUCAUUAUAUCAGUUAUAGUUUAUUUGAUGGUCCUUACUAUUUGGAUAACCGUAGUAAUUCUAGAGCUAAUACAUGCGCCCAGACCCAACUUUUAGGAAGGGUUGUAUUUAUUAGGUACAGAACCAAUGCAAGCUCCGCUUGACCUUUUGGUGAUUCAUGGUAACCGAACGAAUCGCACGGCACCAGCUGGCGAUGGACCAUUUCAGUUUCUGACCUAUCAGCUUCCGACGGUAGGAUAUGGGCCUACCGUGGCAAUGACGGGUAGCGGAGAAUUAGGGUUCGAUUCCGGAGAGGGAGCCUGAGAAACGGCUACCACAUCUAAGGAAGGCAGCAGG
Molecule: ribosomal RNA, 403 nt
Filed under: uncultured Gymnodinium
Lineage: Eukaryota; Dinophyceae; Gymnodiniales
Description: partial small subunit ribosomal RNA
Rfam family: Eukaryotic small subunit ribosomal RNA
Source: RNAcentral